CUGGACUUUGAUCUUGCCAUAA
Molecule: microRNA, 22 nt
Filed under: Homo sapiens (human)
Lineage: Eukaryota; Metazoa; Chordata; Mammalia; Primates; Hominidae
Description: hsa-miR-8058
Source: miRBase by way of RNAcentral